UACGUAGGUGGCAAGCGUUGUCCGGAAUUAUUGGGCGUAAAGCGCGCGCAGGCGGUCCUUUAAGUCUGAUGUGAAAGCCCCGGGCUCAACCUGGGAAUGGCAUUGGAAACUGGCAAGCUCGAGUUUGGCAGAGGGGGGUGGAAUUCCGCGUGUAGCAGUGAAAUGCGUAGAGAUGCGGAGGAACACCGAUGGCGAAGGCAGCCCCCUGGGCUAAGACUGACGCUCAGGCACGAAAGCGUGGGGAGCAAACAGG
This 253-nucleotide ribosomal RNA is filed under the name uncultured bacterium. RNAcentral's name for it is "partial 16S ribosomal RNA". It matches the Rfam family "Bacterial small subunit ribosomal RNA", at positions 524 to 776 of the family's 1533-position model. The record is from RNAcentral.